Molecule: ribosomal RNA, 453 nt
Filed under: uncultured Thiobacillus sp.
Lineage: Bacteria; Pseudomonadati; Pseudomonadota; Betaproteobacteria; Nitrosomonadales; Thiobacillaceae
Description: bacterial SSU rRNA
Rfam family: Bacterial small subunit ribosomal RNA
Source: RNAcentral
CACAAGCGGUGGAUGAUGUGGAUUAAUUCGAUGCAACGCGAAAACCUUACCUACCCUUGACAUGUCCGGAAUCCUGCAGAGAUGCGGGAGUGCCCGAAAGGGAAUCGGAACACAGGUGCUGCAUGGCUGUCGUCAGCUCGUGUCGUGAGAUGUUGGGUUAAGUCCCGCAACGAGCGCAACCCUUAUCAUUAGUUGCUACGCAAGGGCACUCUAAUGAGACUGCCGGUGACAAACCGGAGGAAGGUGGGGAUGACGUCAAGUCCUCAUGGCCCUUAUGGGUAGGGCUUCACACGUCAUACAAUGGUCGGUACAGAGGGUUGCCAAGCCGCGAGGCGGAGCCAAUCCCACAAAGCCGAUCGUAGUCCGGAUUGUUCUCUGCAACUCGAGAGCAUGAAGUCGGAAUCGCUAGUAAUCGCAGGUCAGCAUACUGCGGUGAAUACGUUCCCGGGUCUU